UACUCUCACACUUCUGAUCCUUUGGAUUGGGAGCGGUGGACUUGGGUGCUGCUGCUUUGCUGUGGCUCACCUCAAAUGCAUUAGUGCAACUCUUGGUUGGACAUAGUACGGCGUGAUAAGUGUCUUCGCCGGCACCUCGCAAGAGGGUGGCUGAUCAGGAGCUCUGUGCUUCCAACUGUCUUCAGACAAUGACUGACA
RNAcentral lists this unclassified non-coding RNA (198 nucleotides) under uncultured Sebacina. Its description in RNAcentral is "sequence contains ITS2". The record is from RNAcentral. Lineage: Eukaryota; Fungi; Basidiomycota; Agaricomycetes; Sebacinales; Sebacinaceae.